Molecule: ribosomal RNA, 1465 nt
Filed under: uncultured bacterium
Lineage: Bacteria
Description: bacterial SSU rRNA
Rfam family: Bacterial small subunit ribosomal RNA
Source: RNAcentral
AUUAGAGUUUGAUCCUGGCUCAGAACGAACGCUGGCGGCAUGCCUAACACAUGCAAGUCGAACGUGAUCCGGAGCUUGCUCCGGUGAAAGUGGCGCACGGGUGAGUAACGCGUGGGAACCUGCCCAAAGGUAAGGAAUAACCGCGGGAAACUGCGGCUAAUACCUUAUGCUCCCUUCGGGGGAAAGAUUUAUCGCCUUUGGAUGGGCCCGCGUCGGAUUAGCUAGUUGGUGAGGUAACGGCUCACCAAGGCGACGAUCCGUAGCUGGUCUGAGAGGAUGAUCAGCCACACUGGGACUGAGACACGGCCCAGACUCCUACGGGAGGCAGCAGUGGGGAAUUUUCCGCAAUGGGCGAAAGCCUGACGGAGCAAGACCGCGUGAGGGAGGAAGGCUCUUGGGUUGUAAACCUCUUUUCUCAGGGAAGAAGAAAGUGACGGUACCUGAGGAAUCAGCCUCGGCUAACUCCGUGCCAGCAGCCGCGGUAAUACGGAGGAGGCAAGCGUUAUCCGGAAUUAUUGGGCGUAAAGCGUCCGCAGGUGGCUCGCUCAAGUCUGCUGUCAAAGACCGGGGCUUAACUCCGGAAAGGCAGUGGAAACUGACAAGCUAGAGGGCUCUAGGGGUAGAGGGAAUUCCCGGUGUAGCGGUGAAAUGCGUAGAGAUCGGGAAGAACAUCGGUGGCGAAAGCGCUCUACUGGAGAGCAACUGACACUCAGGGACGAAAGCUAGGGGAGCGAAUGGGAUUAGAUACCCCAGUAGUCCUAGCCGUAAACGAUGGAUACUAGGCGUGGCUCGUAUCGACCCGAGCCGUGCCGUAGCUAACGCGUUAAGUAUCCCGCCUGGGGAGUACGCACGCAAGUGUGAAACUCAAAGGAAUUGACGGGGGCCCGCACAAGCGGUGGAGUAUGUGGUUUAAUUCGAUGCAACGCGAAGAACCUUACCAGGGCUUGACAUGUCCGGAACCCUGCUGAAAGGUGGGGGUGCCUUCGGGAGCCGGAACACAGGUGGUGCAUGGCUGUCGUCAGCUCGUGUCGUGAGAUGUUGGGUUAAGUCCCGCAACGAGCGCAACCCUCGUUCUUAGUUGCCAGCAUUAAGUUGGGCACUCUAGGGAGACUGCCGGUGACAAACCGGAGGAAGGUGGGGAUGACGUCAAGUCAGCAUGCCCCUUACGUCCUGGGCUACACACGUACUACAAUGCGACGGACAAAGGGCAGCAAGCGAGCGAUCGCAAGCUAAUCCCAUAAACCGUGGCUCAGUUCAGAUCGCAGGCUGCAACUCGCCUGCGUGAAGGAGGAAUCGCUAGUAAUUGCAGGUCAGCAUACUGCAGUGAAUCCGUUCCCGGGCCUUGUACACACCGCCCGUCACACCAUGGGAGCUGGUUUUGCCCGAAGUCGUUACCCUAACCCGCAAGGGAAGGGGACGCCGAAGGCAGGGCUAGUGACUGGGGUGAAGUCGUAACAAGGUAACC